Molecule: ribosomal RNA, 1438 nt
Filed under: Niphargus zagrebensis
Lineage: Eukaryota; Metazoa; Arthropoda; Malacostraca; Amphipoda; Niphargidae
Description: eukaryotic LSU rRNA
Rfam family: Eukaryotic large subunit ribosomal RNA (bases 1003-1438)
Source: RNAcentral
UUAGAGGAAGUAAAAGUCGUAACAAGGUUUCCGUAGGUGAACCUGCGGAAGGAUCAUUAACGAUUGCUAAAUGCAAAAAAAAGCUCACUGGAUUAACGCUAAAACUCCUGACGAGUUCAGGAAGGAUGCUUUCACGGCCAUCGUGGUUGUUGCGCUCUGCGCUGCGAACGAUGUAAAACAAACAACCGAUGGCCUCUCAUACAGUAUAAUAUCUCUCGCCAUGGCAUACAGGCCUGGCAUCUGGUACGAGUCUCUCGCAGUCUCAAAACCAACCUUACAACUCUGAGCGGUGGAUCACUUGGCUUGUGGAUGCUAUGAAGACCAUAGCUAAGUGUGAGAAUGGCAGCGAGCCGUCGCUAUAUGCGCUGUCCUCUUCUUAUCACAUGUCGAAUGCACAUUGCGCCCCACCCAGCGGUCAACAACCUGCAGACAAAAGCCUGGUUGGAACAAAGGAUGUGUGGCCCUCGAGCAACGGCGGGGGAGCCAGGAGCACAUGAGCGUGCGGACCAACUACUCGUGAGUAGUCAGGCUUGACCCUAUGGUGGGGCACUCCUAGUCGAGUGUGGUGGAUCGGACUCACAUCUUGUUGCGCCGCGCGAUGGAGUUUGAGUUUGUUGCUGGUGGAUUUGGGUCGACAUCAGUCGUGCCCAACUGCCUUGGCUCGUGCCUCUGUGCGUAUACCUCUUACAUUGAAGGCCAUAGCUGGCGAUCACUCUUGCGGCCAGGGCACUACUUCGGUAGUGCGCACAGGUCCAAGAACUGAUAAUACGAGAAUCGGGUCUCCAUACUAUCCCGGCGACACAAUCUGUGGGCGGUGAAACUGCAUAACCGUUACUGGCAAGGGGUAGUAUUCGGGAAGAUCUUUUCCACUUUUAGACGCACGACGAACGCACGAGAUCAGGUAAGACAGUGCGGCAAAAGUAACAGAGUGGCAGCCUCGCAUCGCUCCGCUUGUUGUACUAGAGAUACGGGCGAAGGAAAGAGACCUGGUUUCUUGUGCCACCACCUCGACUUAGGAGAGGUUACCCGCUGAACUUAAGCAUAUCAGUAAGCGGAGGAAAAGAAACCAAUCAGGGAUUCCCUUAGUAGGGGCGACCGAACAGGGAUGAGCCCAGCGCAGAACCUCCCGGGCCACCCGGCCUGCGGCGGAAUGUUGCGUUAAGGGAAAGGUCGUAGUCAAACCCCACAGCCACGCGAGCUCUAAGUAAGUCACGAAUUGGCUAUCCCAACUAACGGCGGGAAAAUCUCCACGGAGGGUGUAAGACCCGUGUGGGCGCGUGUAAAUGCUGUGUGGGCUCGGCCUCUUUUCCCUGAGAGUCGCGUUGCUUGAGCAUGCAGCGCUAAGCAGGUCGUAAACUCGAUCUAAGGCUAAAUAUGUCCACAAGACCGAUAGCGAACAAGUACCGUGAGGGAAAGUGAAAAGCACUCUGAAGAGAGA